UGGGGAAUUUUGGACAAUGGGCGCAAGCCUGAUCCAGCAAUGCCGCGUGCAGGAUGAAGGCCUUCGGGUUGUAAACUGCUUUUGUACGGAACGAAAAGGCUCUGGCUAAUACCUGGGGCACAUGACGGUACCGUAAGAAUAAGCACCGGCUAACUACGUGCCAGCAGCCGCGGUAAUACGUAGGGUGCGAGCGUUAAUCGGAAUUACUGGGCGUAAAGCGUGCGCAGGCGGUUUUGUAAGACAGAGGUGAAAUCCCCGGGCUCAACCUGGAACUGCCUUUGUGACUGCAAGGCUGGAGUGCGGCAGAGGGGGAUGGAAUUCCGCGUGUAGCAGUGAAAUGCGUAGAUAUGCGGAGGAACACCGAUGGCGAAGGCAAUCCCCUGGGGCCUGCACUGACGCUCAUGCACGAAAGCGUGGGGGAGCAAACAGGAUUAGAUACCCCUGGUAGUCCACGCCCCUAAAGCGAUGUCAACUGGUUGUUGGGUCUU
This 488-nucleotide ribosomal RNA is filed under the name uncultured bacterium. Its description in RNAcentral is "partial 16S ribosomal RNA". It matches the Rfam family "Bacterial small subunit ribosomal RNA", at positions 355 to 831 of the family's 1533-position model. The record is from RNAcentral.